CGUUGUCCGGAUUAUUGGGCGUAAAGCGCGCGCAGGCGGAUUAGUCAGUCUGUCUUAAAAGUUCGGGGCUUAACCCCGUGAUGGGAUGGAAACUGCUGAUCUAGAGUAUCGGAGAGGAAAGUGGAAUUCCUAGUGUAGCGGUGAAAUGCGUAGAUAUUAGGAAGAACACCAGUGGCGAAGGCGACUUUCUGGACGAAAACUGACGCUGAGGCGCGAAAGCCAGGGGAGCGAACGGGAUUAGAUACCCCGGUAGUCCUGGCCGUAAACGAUGGGUACUAGGUGUAGGAGGUAUCGACCCCUUCUGUGCCGGAGUUAACGCAAUAAGUACCCCGCCUGGGGAGUACGACCGCAAGGUUGAAACUCAAAGGAAUUGACGGGGGCCCGCACAAGCGGUGGAGUAUGUGGUUUAAUUCGACGCAACGCGAAGAACCUUACCAGGUCUUGACAUUGAUGGACAGAACUAGAGAUAGUUCCUCUUCUUCGGAAGCCAGAAAACAGGUGGUGCGCGGUUGUCGUCAGCUCGUGUCGUGAGAAG
RNAcentral lists this ribosomal RNA (535 nucleotides) under uncultured bacterium. RNAcentral's name for it is "bacterial SSU rRNA". It matches the Rfam family "Bacterial small subunit ribosomal RNA", at positions 539 to 1074 of the family's 1533-position model. The record is from RNAcentral.